RNAcentral lists this non-coding RNA (183 nucleotides) under Peptoclostridium acidaminophilum. RNAcentral also lists the same sequence under 1 other name. Lineage: Bacteria; Bacillati; Bacillota; Clostridia; Peptostreptococcales; Peptoclostridiaceae. The record is from RNAcentral.
AAAACAUUUGAAUCUCAAGGUGCUCGAGCAAUCGAGCUAAGAGGGAAAGAGGUGAGAUUCCUCUACAGCCCCCGCUACUGUAAACAGGGAUGAAACCCCAAUGAGCCACCAUUAAUCCAUGGGAAGGCAGGGGGAGUAAGGAGAACUGUAAGUCAGGAGACCUGCCUUGAAGAUGAUAUACAG